GUGGGGAAUCUUCCGCAAUGGACGAAAGUCUGACGGAGCGACGCCGCGUGAGUGAAGAAGGCCUUCGGGUCGUAAAGCUCUGUCAUCAGGGACGAACGGCCGGUGGAGUGGAAAGCCACCGGAUUGACGGUACCUGAGAAGGAAGCCACGGCUAACUACGUGCCAGCAGCCGCGGUAAUACGUAGGUGGCAAGCGUUGUCCGGAAUUAUUGGGCGUAAAGCGCGCGCAGGUGGGAUCUUAAGUCCAUUUUUAAAGUUCGGAGCUCAACUCCGUGAUGGGAUGGAAACUGGGAUUCUUGAGUACCGGAGAGGAAAGCGGAAUUCCCCGUGUAGCGGUGAAAUGCGUAGAUAUGGGGAGGAACACCAGUGGCGAAGGCGGCUUCCUGGCACAAUACUGACGCUCAUGUGCGAAAGCUAGGGCAGCGAACGGGAUUAGAAACCCGUGUAGUCC
This 450-nucleotide ribosomal RNA is filed under the name uncultured bacterium. RNAcentral's name for it is "partial 16S ribosomal RNA". It matches the Rfam family "Bacterial small subunit ribosomal RNA", at positions 354 to 796 of the family's 1533-position model. The record is from RNAcentral.